CCUAGUGGUGAGUGUGGUGUCUCUGAGUGUGGUAAAUGGAUGGAAAAGGGCGUUCUGGAAUUAGAAAGGUGAAAAGCAAACAAAAAGUCCUAUCAGCUACACUGCAGUUAACAGAAAGUACACACAACCCUGGGCGCAGUUCAGACUUCCCUGUCUAGACAGUGCCCCUUGGCUUUGUUGCUCACCCACACGUUUUGCAGAUGAACAAGUCUGAGACAAGGCUGCUCCUCCUGUGGGGGCAAAAUAAUUGCUGUGGAGUUUUACUUUGAUUUGUCUGAGCUAGUUUGGCACUUCACAGGCAGGCCUUGGGCAAGGACAAGGAGGCUCUAGUGGCGUCUUCACCGCAUCCUGGUGGGACUUCAGAGCUUCAGCUGGUCUUCUGUGCUGUCCGUGCUGCUGGACAGUGCCCACAUGUGGUGUUGGGAAGGCUCCAGGGGAGCAGGGGCACUGGUUGCAGAGAGCUGGGCACAGGAAGUUCAGUGGGGCUUUCCUUCUGCAGGCGUUAUUUACAGUUGGUAUUAACGGAUAUGUCCUAUUUGCAGCUGGAAGUGGGCAGCUCACUGAGUGCUUUUCUCCACCCUGCAUCGAAGGGUUUGUUGACCUUGUGACCUGCCCACAGCAUGUUGAAGACUGACCGAGGUACAAAUGGAAGCAUAGGCUGGGAGACACAAAAUAGUUGGUUUACCAGAAAGGAAGUUGGAAGAUGAUUUGAUCACAGCUUGUCAGCGCUCACAAAGCAAACCUUUGACUUUCAUCUCUUAAAUCUGGCACAUGAAAGUAUCAGAAGAACCAGUGAUUCUGGUUCUUCUGCAUCUGAGCAAGACAGAUCAAGCAACACAAAAGCAGAUCAGAGAAGAAAUGCAGAUUUUCAGCCUCCAGGCUAAUUACACUUUGGAACAAUGUAUUUAAAAAUGUGGUAGAUUUUCCAGAUGAAAGUUUUAAUUUGGAAUUUAGUUGCCUAAAAGAAAAAAAAAAAAAAAAGUCUGCUCCAGACAAAU
Molecule: long non-coding RNA, 998 nt
Filed under: Anas platyrhynchos platyrhynchos (common mallard)
Lineage: Eukaryota; Metazoa; Chordata; Aves; Anseriformes; Anatidae
Description: lncRNA (ENSAPLG00000025943.1)
Source: RNAcentral